CUGUGAUCAUACGUGUACAUCAGGAUUCUGGCAAUGCACCACAGUAAUGCAUCGUGCAUUGUGUGUGAGUACAGCAAAGUUUAUUACAGAGCACCACGGUAAUAAUAUGCACUGUGCAUGAGUAUAUCAUAGUGUUCCUCAGUGACAUGUGACAGUGUUUUAUUCUAUAAAGACAGGUUGUGUGAGACUGGCCUGGCCGGAUAUGGCUGGGGAGCAGUGUUCACCUGCACUCUAUUCUGAAGUAAUAUGGAAGAAGUUCAAUGAGGAGGAGGCUCUAAGUCAGAGUGCAGGCAAAUGGCCUCUAGCAAGGUAAGAGCCUGCACAGACAGCCAUGUAAUGAGACAACAAGGGGAGAUGGGAGAUUAGUACGUGAG
Non-coding RNA from Pelobates cultripes (western spadefoot toad), 374 nucleotides. The record is from the annotation of a GenBank genome assembly. NCBI's taxonomy places the organism in Eukaryota, Metazoa, Chordata, Amphibia, Anura, Pelobatidae.